UGGAAAGCUUCCAGAAACCUUCCUUAGUGGU
RNAcentral lists this non-coding RNA (31 nucleotides) under Rattus norvegicus (Norway rat). Lineage: Eukaryota; Metazoa; Chordata; Mammalia; Rodentia; Muridae. The record is from RNAcentral.